Paramarasmius palmivorus is the source of this 90-nucleotide non-coding RNA. Lineage: Eukaryota; Fungi; Basidiomycota; Agaricomycetes; Agaricales; Marasmiaceae. The record is from the annotation of a GenBank genome assembly.
UCCAUCAUGGUGUAGUGGCUAACAUUAUCGCCUCUCAUGGACCUGUGCAGUGUAGCGCGAUAGCCCAGGGUUCGAUUCCCUGUGAUGGAA